This 21-nucleotide microRNA is filed under the name Zea mays. RNAcentral describes it as "microRNA miR-3078b". The record is from RNAcentral. Lineage: Eukaryota; Viridiplantae; Streptophyta; Magnoliopsida; Poales; Poaceae.
AUAUAAUAGGAGUAGGAUGGA